CUACUUCUUAGAACCACUGUAUAGAACAUGCUACCUGAUCAAGAAUAAAUCAACACCUUGCUUCCUGUCUUUUAUCCAUUAGAUAUCCAGGUGAAUCUGGAUUGGGAAAGUCGACAUUAAUCAACUCAUUAUUCCUCACAGAUUUGUAUUCUCCAGAGUAUCCAGGUCCUUCUCAUAGAAUUAAAAAGACUGUACAGGUGGAACAAUCCAAAGUUUUAAUCAAAGAAGGUGGUGUUCAGUUGCUGCUCACAAUAGUUGAUACCCCAGGAUUUGGAGAUGCAGUGGAUAAUAGUAAUUGCUGGCAGCCUGUUAUCGACUACAUUGAUAGUAAAUUUGAGGACUACCUAAAUGCAGAAUCACGAGUGAACAGACGUCAGAUGCCUGAUAACAGGGUGCAGUGUUGUUUAUACUUCAUUGCUCCUUCGGGACAUGGACUUAAACCAUUGGAUAUUGAGUUUAUGAAGCGUUUGCAUGAAAAAGUGA
This 483-nucleotide small RNA is filed under the name Pongo abelii (Sumatran orangutan). RNAcentral describes it as "processed transcript". The record is from RNAcentral. Lineage: Eukaryota; Metazoa; Chordata; Mammalia; Primates; Hominidae.